GUCGGUACUUGUCAGAACAGAUAAUGUAAGUAUUACUGUUGUUUUCUUUUCUUUUAAUAUUUUAUAGAUUACAGAAGGUCUAGUUCCUCCAGCAAAAGAAGCAGUUCAAAGAGAUCUUUUCUCAGAAUUCCAUCUAGAAGACUGUUGCCUUUAUUUAACUAGCAGGAAAUCUACUAGUAGACAAUCUCCCAAUGAAAUAAGAUCAAGGUUU
Molecule: long non-coding RNA, 211 nt
Filed under: Mytilus galloprovincialis (Mediterranean mussel)
Lineage: Eukaryota; Metazoa; Mollusca; Bivalvia; Mytilida; Mytilidae
Source: RNAcentral